AUGAUGGCGGCGCCUAGGCCACAGCAGCCACAUGGGAUGAAACUAGCAGAAAUGAAGAAGGCGGCGGUCGUUGGGAGGAAAAAGGUUGCCGGGAAGCUGGAGGGCGUGCACCAGCUGCGGCUGCUGGACAACCGCUACGUUCAGUACAGGUUGCUGAACGCCCGGGGGCAUAGGCGGCCAAGGAAGAUGGAGAUGGGUUGGUGGAGGAGAAAGGCAGUAGAAUGCUGUCGCCAUUAUUCCAACCCACAUCUUUGGAUCAGAGAUGUGAGUCGGGUUGGUAGGUGGGGGAUGGCAGUGACUGGAUGA
RNAcentral lists this ribosomal RNA (306 nucleotides) under Triticum aestivum (bread wheat). RNAcentral describes it as "partial small subunit ribosomal RNA". The record is from RNAcentral. Lineage: Eukaryota; Viridiplantae; Streptophyta; Magnoliopsida; Poales; Poaceae.